UCCAUCGUGAGGUGGAAUCUGAAGGAAGCCGGAGGCAAAGUCCUGGCUCGAUGCACAAGAACCACAUAUUAGGCUGACUUGAGGCGGAUGGGUUUGCCUAACAAAACAAAGUCCAACACUGCAGUGGCCAAGCAUUUUUGUAACACUUUAAUCUAAUAUUUUGGAU
RNAcentral lists this unclassified non-coding RNA (166 nucleotides) under Caloramator quimbayensis. The record is from RNAcentral. Lineage: Bacteria; Bacillati; Bacillota; Clostridia; Eubacteriales; Clostridiaceae.